This 491-nucleotide ribosomal RNA is filed under the name uncultured bacterium. Its description in RNAcentral is "partial 16S ribosomal RNA". It matches the Rfam family "Bacterial small subunit ribosomal RNA", at positions 29 to 507 of the family's 1533-position model. The record is from RNAcentral.
AGUGAACGCUGGCGGUAGGCCUAACACAUGCGAGUCGAACGGCAGCACAGUAAGAGUUGCUCUUACGGGUGGCGAGUGGCGGACGGGUGAGGAAUACAUCGGAAUCUACUUUUUCGUGGGGGAUAACGUAGGGAAACUUACGCUAAUACCGCAUACGACCUACGGGUGAAAGCAGGGGAUCUUCGGACCUUGCGCGAUUGAAUGAGCCGAUGUCGGAUUAGCUAGUUGGCGGGGUAAAGGCCCACCAAGGCGACGAUCCGUAGCUGGUCUGAGAGGAUGAUCAGCCACACUGGAACUGAGACACGGUCCAGACUCCUACGGGAGGCAGCAGUGGGGAAUAUUGGACAAUGGGCGCAAGCCUGAUCCAGCCAUACCGCGUGGGUGAAGAAGGCCUUCGGGUUGUAAAGCCCUUUUGUUGGGAAAGAAAAGCAGCAGGUUAAUACCCCGCUGUUCUGACGGUACCCAAAGAAUAAGCACCGGCUAACUUCGUG